GCGAAGAACCUUACCGGGUCUUGACAUCGAGUGACGGCUGUAGAGAUACAGCUUUCUCUUCGGAGACACGAAGACAGGUGGUGCAUGGUUGUCGUCAGCUCGUGUCGUGAGAUGUUGGGUUAAGUCCCGCAACGAGCGCAACCCUUAUGAUUAGUUGCUACGCAAGAGCACUCUAAUCAGACUGCCGUUGACAAAACGGAGGAAGGUGGGGAUGACGUCAAAUCAUCAUGCCCUUUAUGACCCGGGCCUCACACGUACUACAAUGGCGUUGAACAAAGAGAAGCAAAACCGCGAGGUGGAGCAAAUCUCGAAAAAACGUCUCAGUUCAGAUUGCAGUCUGCAACUCGACUGCAUGAAGUCGGAAUCGCUAGUAAACGCAGAUCAGCACGCUGCGUUGAAUACGUUCCCGGGUCUUGUACACACCGA
This 426-nucleotide ribosomal RNA is filed under the name uncultured rumen bacterium. Its description in RNAcentral is "bacterial SSU rRNA". It matches the Rfam family "Bacterial small subunit ribosomal RNA", at positions 961 to 1393 of the family's 1533-position model. The record is from RNAcentral.